AUUGCGGGGUAGCAAUAUUCCGCAGUCGGAGUGGCGCAAGGGUGCGUAACACGUGGGCAAUUUGCCGUGAAGCCCGGAAUAACUCGCUGAAAGGCGAGCUAAUACCGGAUGUGAUUUCUGGAGGGCAUCCUCUGGAACUUAAAGCUGGGGACCGUAAGGCCUGGCACUUCUCGAUAAGCCCGCGGCCUAUCAGCUAGUUGGUGAGGUAAUGGCUCACCAAGGCUAAGACGGGUAGCUGGUCUGAGAGGACGACCAGCCACACUGGAACUGAGACACGGUCCAGACACCUACGGGUGGCAGCAGUCGAGAAUUUUUCACAAUGGGCGAAAGCCUGAUGGAGCGACGCCGCGUGGGGGAUGAAUGGCUUCGGCCCGUAAACCCCUGUCAUUUGCGAACAAACCUUGCUAUUUAAAAGAUGGCGAGCUGAUUGUAGCGGAAGAGGAAGGGACGGCUAACUCUGUGCCAGCAGCCGCGGUAAUACAGAGGUCCCAAGCGUUGUUCGGAUUCACUGGGCGUAAAGGGUGCGUAGGUGGUCGGGUAAGUCUGACGUGAAAUCUCCGAGCUUAACUCGGAAACUGCAUCAGAUACUAUUCGGCUUGAGGGUUGGAGGGGGGGACUGGAAUUCUCGGUGUAGCAGUGAAAUGCGUAGAUAUCGAGAGGAACACCAGUGGCGAAGGCGAGUCCCUGGACAACUCCUGACACUGAGGCACGAAAGCUAGGGGAGCAAACAGGAUUAGAUACCCUGGUAGUCCUAGCCGUAAACGGUGCACGUUUGCUGUAAGAGGAAUCGACCCCUCUUGUGGCGAAGCUAACGCGUU
Molecule: ribosomal RNA, 818 nt
Filed under: uncultured Verrucomicrobiota bacterium
Lineage: Bacteria; Pseudomonadati; Verrucomicrobiota
Description: bacterial SSU rRNA
Rfam family: Bacterial small subunit ribosomal RNA
Source: RNAcentral